Molecule: non-coding RNA, 46 nt
Organism: Phalacrocorax carbo (great cormorant)
Lineage: Eukaryota; Metazoa; Chordata; Aves; Suliformes; Phalacrocoracidae
Source: Rfam
AAAAAGGCUUUUCUUAAAGCCAUUAUCCUGACCUGUUUCACAGCCU